GCCGGGCGCGGUGGCGCGCGCCUGUAGUCCCAGCUAUUCAGGAGGCUGAGGCAGGAGGAUCGCUUGAGCCCAGGAGUUCUGGGCUGCAGUGCGCUAUGCCGAUCGGGUGUCCGCACUAAGUUCGGCAUCAAUAUGGUGACCUCCCGGGAGCGGGGGACCACCAGGUUGCCUAAGGAGGGGUGAACCGGCCCAGGUCGGAAACGGAGCAGGUCAAAAAUCAAGGGCCUUUUAAGGACCAAUGAAAAUGGAAAGGAAUCACAUACAAAGAAAUGAGAUGACUGAUAAGCAUCUAUCUCC
This 297-nucleotide signal recognition particle RNA is filed under the name Canis lupus dingo (dingo). RNAcentral's name for it is "Metazoan signal recognition particle RNA (ENSCAFG00020018911.1)". It matches the Rfam family "Metazoan signal recognition particle RNA". From Rfam's summary of the family: The signal recognition particle (SRP) is a universally conserved ribonucleoprotein. It is involved in the co-translational targeting of proteins to membranes. The eukaryotic SRP consists of a 300-nucleotide 7S RNA and six proteins: SRPs 72, 68, 54, 19, 14, and 9. The record is from RNAcentral. Lineage: Eukaryota; Metazoa; Chordata; Mammalia; Carnivora; Canidae.